AUACAUAAGUGACCACUAACCCGAGUCUCAGAUAGAAUUUCGAUCAUCUAUUUGUGACUCAGACAAGCCCCACUAGAUGAUCGAGUGAGAAGCAAACCGCGAAAGGACACCGAGGGGUGUUCGUGGACCCAACUCGCAUGACAGGCUCGCAGAUUUAGCUCGCAUAAACUAAGAGAAGGUCGCAGUCUCAGCUUGCAUGUGUCCAAGAAGCUCGCAGAAGGAGGACCGUGCUCUACUGGCAACCUAGAAGGAAAC
RNAcentral lists this long non-coding RNA (255 nucleotides) under Gossypium barbadense (sea-island cotton). RNAcentral's name for it is "long non-coding RNA (GBAR_LNC019693)". Lineage: Eukaryota; Viridiplantae; Streptophyta; Magnoliopsida; Malvales; Malvaceae. The record is from RNAcentral.